GACGAACGCUGGCGGCGUGCUUAACACAUGCAAGUCGAACGGAAAGGCCCUGCUUUUGUGGGGUGCUCGAGUGGCGAACGGGUGAGUAACACGUGAGUAACCUGCCCUUGACUUUGGGAUAACUUCAGGAAACUGGGGCUAAUACCGGAUAGGAGCUCCUGCUGCAUGGUGGGGGUUGGAAAGUUUCGGCGGUUGGGGAUGGACUCGCGGCUUAUCAGCUUGUUGGUGGGGUAGUGGCUUACCAAGGCUUUGACGGGUAGCCGGCCUGAGAGGGUGACCGGCCACAUUGGGACUGAGAUACGGCCCAGACUCCUACGGGAGGCAGCAGUGGGGAAUAUUGCACAAUGGGCGGAAGCCUGAUGCAGCAACGCCGCGUGCAGGAUGACGGCCUUCGGGUUGUAAACCGCUUUCGCCUGUGACGAAGCGUGAGUGACGGUAAUGGGUAAAGAAGCACCGGCUAACUACGUGCCAGCAGCCGCGGUGAUACGUAGGGCGCGAGCGUUGUCCGGAUUUAUUGGGCGUAAAGGGCUCGUAGGUGGUUGAUCGCGUCGGAAGUGUAAUCUUGGGGCUUAACCCUGAGCGUGCUUUCGAUACGGGUUGACUUGAGGAAGGUAGGGGAGAAUGGAAUUCCUGGUGGAGCGGUGGAAUGCGCAGAUAUCAGGAGGAACACCAGUGGCGAAGGCGGUUCUCUGGGCCUUUCCUGACGCUGAGGAGCGAAAGCGUGGGGAGCGAACAGGCUUAGAUACCCUGGUAGUCCACGCUGUAAACGGUGGGUACUAGGUGUGGGGUCCAUUCCACGGGUUCCGUGCCGUAGCUAACGCUUUAAGUACCCCGCCUGGGGAGUACGGCCGCAAGGCUAAAACUCAAAGGAAUUGACGGGGCCCCGCACAAGCGGCGGAGCAUGCGGAUUAAUUCGAUGCAACGCGUAGAACCUUACCUGGGUUUGACAUGGAUCGGGAGCGCUCAGAGAUGGGUGUGCCUCUUUUGGGGUCGGUUCACAGGUGGUGCAUGGCUGUCGUCAGCUCGUGUCGUGAGAUGUUGGGUUAAGUCCCGCAACGAGCGCAACCCUUGUUCACUGUUGCCAGCACGUUAUGGUGGGGACUCAGUGGAGACCGCCGGGGUCAACUCGGAGGAAGGUGGGGAUGACGUCAAGUCAUCAUGCCCCUUAUGUCCAGGGCUUCACGCAUGCUACAAUGGCUGGUACAGAGAGUGGCGAGCCUGUGAGGGUGAGCGAAUCUCGGAAAGCCGGUCUCAGUUCGGAUUGGGGUCUGCAACUCGACCUCAUGAAGUCGGAGUCGCUAGUAAUCGCAGAUCAGCAACGCUGCGGUGAAUACGUUCCCGGG
RNAcentral lists this ribosomal RNA (1343 nucleotides) under uncultured bacterium. RNAcentral describes it as "16S ribosomal RNA". It matches the Rfam family "Bacterial small subunit ribosomal RNA", at positions 28 to 1378 of the family's 1533-position model. The record is from RNAcentral.